UUUUAGGGGAAAGUUACGGGUAAAAUUAAAAAAAACCAAAACGUAGAGGAGGCCGGGGCGGAGACGACACUGAUAGUGCUAAACCCCUCAUCCAUUUUUCUUUGAUGCUUUCAUCCGCUCAGUUUCGUUACCAUGGCUAGGCCGUUCCCGCUCUAUUUCUACCAGGUUUGAUCGCCAUUGGGGGCAUUCUCUUAGCACUUUAGAAACAAAUUUCUAUGACGUCGUAACUUUCUAAUUCCAAUUGAUCGUUCAGCAACAAGCAGUUUGAAGAAUUUCCUUCAGGUAGGGGCAAUGAGCACUGUGGAGAGUAUUCAGGUGACUUGUGCAGCUUUUGCACGAUAGUUUUGGGAGCUUUGUAUAUAAAUUUUGGGUAAUUGUCAUUGCAGAAUGCCUAAGGACAGAGAAUCCAUGCAUAUUGAUCAAUUUGAUGGAAGUAAUGGAUGCAUCAUAGAUCUCAAACCUGUUCCUGCUUGUGCAUCAGGAGUUGGCUUGCCUUAUGCUCCGGAGGACUGGCCGCAUCUUGGAGAUACUUGGACUUGGAGAGUAGGAACCAGAAAAGCUGUUAGUGGGCACUGGAUUGAUAGGUUUAUUUCUCCACCUGACUAUUUCCCAAGUAUUUCAGGUUGUAAGCCGAAGUUCCAAAGCAGAGUUUCUUUAGUGAAAUAUCUUCGGAAUGAAUUUCCUCAUGCUGAUCUUGAUGCCUUCUUUGGUUCUUUUUCAUGGAGAAUUCCUGCUGAAGGAACUAACU
Long non-coding RNA from Phalaenopsis equestris, 748 nucleotides. RefSeq lists it as uncharacterized. The transcript is spliced from 4 exons. The record is from RefSeq and is a predicted model, not a curated record. NCBI's taxonomy places the organism in Eukaryota, Viridiplantae, Streptophyta, Magnoliopsida, Asparagales, Orchidaceae.